This is a long non-coding RNA of Gossypium arboreum, 1927 nucleotides long. RefSeq lists it as uncharacterized. Lineage: Eukaryota; Viridiplantae; Streptophyta; Magnoliopsida; Malvales; Malvaceae. The transcript has 2 exons. The record is from RefSeq and is a predicted model, not a curated record.
UAAAUAAAUAAAACCAAAGCCAUUAUUUUGUACCCAUCCUCAUCUUCUUCAACCAAUUGUAACCUAGAAAAGCCAUGGAUACAUCCGGCCAAGCUUGUGAGCUAAAUUAGAAAGAAGAAAAAGGCUAUUGCAUGUUAAUUUUGAGCUCAAUUAGGAGCUGGUUCCAUAAGAAAUUCAGUGGCAGCAAGAAGAGGAAGGAUAUCGUUCAAGGGUGGGCUCGACUGCUGUUCAGCUUCGUGCUGGAAUUGUAUCCGGGCUUAAAGACCCGCAGGCUAUAUGCUGGAAUUGUAUCCGGGCUUAAAGACCCGCAGGCUUCGUGCUGGAAUUGUAUCCGGACUUAAGAUCAACAGGCUUCGUGCUGGUACUAUAUCCGGACUUAAGGUCCGCAGGCUUCGUACUGGUGCUAUAUCCGGGGUUAACGUCCCGUAGGCUUUGUGUUGGUGAUUGAAUUCGGGGUUUAAACCUAGCUGGCUUAAAGCCGAUGAUUCGAAUAAGAUUAUGAAUUUGAAGGUUCGAGGUAAACUACUACUGAUUAUGUAUGCUACAUUAUGAGGGCCAGGUAUGUAUUAUGUACUCGUAUGCGAUUUUGAUUUGGAUUGAAUUAUAAGUGUAUAAAGUGAUGCAUAUGUGAAUAAGUAUUACAACUAUAAAUGUGAUCGUGAUACAUUCGGUAAAUCUGUGAAGUUAUGUGGAAGUAUAUGAUUGUUAUAUGUGAUUAUGAUCAUGGAAAAUUAAAUGUCGAGAUGAUAUUGUAUUUUUUUCGUUUUGAUUGAAUUAAAGUUGAUAGUGAAGCAUUUUAAAUGCCUAUGUUAUAUAAGUUCAAUCUUGAAUGACAUGAUAUACAUGUUUAAAUAAUAUGAAAGCAAAGAAUGUGUGAAAGAGUAUAUUGUAAUAAAUCUGCUUGGGACAGCAGCAGUAACAUGAUUUUUGAAAAAUCACCAUAAAUAGUGGGAGUUGAGUUAGAGGCUAAAUAAAUUAUGUAAUAAAGCUUAAUGAGUUUAGUUUCUUAUAAAAGAAACUGUGUAAACAAAAGAAUUUCCGAUAAUGAGAUAUUUGAAGUGGCGUGGGACAGAGUCAAAAUGACUUCGAAGUCCCCUGUUCUAUUUUUAGAAAAUCAUUGUAAAUUGUAAAAUGAUGGUUAUAAAAUAAAAUUUAUAUGCUUAGACUCCUUAAUGAGUCUAGUUUCAAAUGAAAUAAACAAUAACAUAUUUUGAAUUCUGUACAAUGAGAAAUUUGAUUCAUAGUGAAGAGUGUUCAGAUUAGUCAAAUAGUGAAACAGGGGAAACUUUAAGAAAAAUCUGGUAUUGAUUGGCCAAAUCAAAAAUUCUGAAAAUUUUAUGGAUAGAAGGUAUAUGAGUCUAUUUUCAGGAAAAAUUAACAGAAAUUGAUUUGGAGUUUCGUAGCUCCAGUUAUAAAUAAUUUAGUGACUAUUGCUCAGGAAGACAACUUGUAGUGAAUUUGUGUUUAUGUUGUAAACAUUGAUAAAACUUGUUAAUGAGUUGCUUAUUGUUUUCUUAUGAACUUACUAAGCGUAAAACUUACUACCCUUUUCUUUCCCAUAUUCCCUAGGGUUGCCAGGUUAGCUCAGGUUGGAGGCCGUCAGAGAUAUUAUCAUAUUGUCAAGUCUACGCUAUCGGCGCAAGUAAAUCUUAGUGUUUCGAGUCUAUGGCAUGUAUAGGGUUGUAAAGUUGAGUAUGAAAUAUUAUGAUUAAGUCAAAGACUUUGGCUUAUUAUUAAGGUAGUUUGAUUAUACAUACGCUUGUAUAUUAUUAUCUCCUGUGAUGUGGUUUAUAGCAUGUAUAUUUAGAAUUUGAAUUGUGAUUCAUUGUUGAGUAAGUAAAUGAUACAAGACUAAGAUAUUGGUAAAUAUUUAAUAAUGCAUCAUGAAUGUUUUGGGCCUUGUAAGCCCGAUUAAAGGAUAAAAUAA